CCUACGGGAGGCAGCAGUGGGGGAUAUUGGACAAUGGGGGGAACCCUGAUCCAGCGACGCCGCGUGAGUGAAGAAGUAUUUCGGUAUGUAAAGCUCUGUCAGCAGGGAAGAAAGAAAUGACGGUACCUGACUAAGAAGCCCCGGCUAACUACGUGCCAGCAGCCGCGGUAAUACGUAGGGGGCAAGCGUUAUCCGGAAUUACUGGGUGUAAAGGGAGCGUAGACGGUUUAGUAAGUCUGGAGUGAAAGGCCGGAGCCUAACCCCGGGACUGUUCUGGAAACUAUUGAACUUGAGUGCAGGAGAGGUAGGCGGAAUUCCUGGUGUAGCGGUGAAAUGCGUAGAUAUUAGGAGGAACACCAGUGGCGAAGGCGGCUUACUGGACUGUAACUGACGUUGAGGCACGAAAGCGUGGGGAGCAAACAGGAUUAGAUACCCCAGUAGUC
This 443-nucleotide ribosomal RNA is filed under the name uncultured bacterium. Its description in RNAcentral is "partial 16S ribosomal RNA". It matches the Rfam family "Bacterial small subunit ribosomal RNA", at positions 338 to 795 of the family's 1533-position model. The record is from RNAcentral.